This 462-nucleotide ribosomal RNA is filed under the name uncultured bacterium. RNAcentral describes it as "bacterial SSU rRNA". It matches the Rfam family "Bacterial small subunit ribosomal RNA", at positions 355 to 808 of the family's 1533-position model. The record is from RNAcentral.
UGGGGAAUUUUGGACAAUGGGGGCAACCCUGAUCCAGCCAUUCCGCGUGAGUGAAGAAGGCCUUCGGGUUGUAAAGCUCUUUCAGCUGGAACGAAACGGUACGCUCUAACAUAGCGUGCUAAUGACGGUACCAGCAGAAGAAGCACCGGCUAACUACGUGCCAGCAGCCGCGGUAAUACGUAGGGUGCGAGCGUUAAUCGGAAUUACUGGGCGUAAAGCGUGCGCAGGCGGAUUGUUAAGCAAGACGUGAAAUCCCCGGGCUUAACCUGGGAAUGGCGUUUUGAACUGGCAGUCUAGAGUGUGUCAGAGGGGGGUAGAAUUCCACGUGUAGCAGUGAAAUGCGUAGAGAUGUGGAGGAAUACCAAUGGCGAAGGCAGCCCCCUGGGAUAACACUGACGCUCAUGUACGAAAGCGUGGGUAGCAAACUAGGAUUAGAUACCCUGGUAGUCCACGCCCUAAACG